AUAUAUUUUAAAAAAAAAAAAAAAAAAAAUCUGUUCUUAUCAGUUUAAUAUCUGAUACGUCCCCCAUCGGGGGACUACAUAUUAAAUGGAUUUUUCGAACAGGGAGUCGGAAAUGGGGCUUGCUCCGUCCGCUCCACGCAUCGACCCGGUAUUGCAGUACCUCCGGGAACGGUGCAACACUU
Small nuclear RNA from Oncorhynchus tshawytscha (Chinook salmon), 182 nucleotides. Its record names the gene U2. It matches the Rfam family "U2 spliceosomal RNA". From Rfam's summary of the family: U2 is a small nuclear RNA (snRNA) component of the spliceosome (involved in pre-mRNA splicing). Complementary binding between U2 snRNA (in an area lying towards the 5' end but 3' to hairpin I) and the branchpoint sequence (BPS) of the intron results the bulging out of an unpaired adenosine, on the BPS, which initiates a nucleophilic attack at the intronic 5' splice site, thus starting the first of two transesterification reactions that mediate splicing. NCBI's taxonomy places the organism in Eukaryota, Metazoa, Chordata, Actinopteri, Salmoniformes, Salmonidae. The record is from Ensembl.